CCUCCCGCCCGCAGCCGCUCCCCGCCCUGCGCGCCGGCCUGGGGGCCCUGGCCCGGAGUCCCGCCGAGAGAGCGCGAGUCAGAUGCGGGGCCGGGGCUCUCAGCAGCUCUGCCCGGGACCCCACACCGCCUCCCUCCCUCCUGUACGCACGGCCGCACCGCGGCUCUCGGGCCCGGGGCGGGUGCUAGGUGAGAGGGAAGCAGGUCCUGACAGCGAGACAAACUCGCGCCUCGUGCUUUGUAAAACGAGAAAUUUGAAGUGCUGUGCCAAGUCAGCCCUCUGAGGUCGGCUCCGACUUCCCAUUUGCUUUUUGUAAUCGGUAAUGAUGUUUAAAAGGUGCUUUCGAACGAUCUCAUUUGAUGCUGAGGCAACCGGGACGUUUAGUCCCAUUUUACAGAUGAAGUAACUGAGUCUGCUCAGUAGGUGAGAAGACUUGCCCGACGCUACACCACUCGUCAGCAUCUGGACCACUGCCCGGGCCCAGUGCUGCAGAACCCCAUCCUGGAACUUUUAUAAUGCUAAUGAGACCAUCACUCAGGUUAUAACUGAACUUCAAGGCCUUCCUAGAAAUCUUUCCUCCAGGCUGGAGUUCAUGAAGGAGAAAAGGGUUGAAAAGUC
This 618-nucleotide long non-coding RNA is filed under the name Homo sapiens (human). RNAcentral's name for it is "HSALNT0359375". Lineage: Eukaryota; Metazoa; Chordata; Mammalia; Primates; Hominidae. The record is from RNAcentral.